CUAACCUCACUCGCGCCUUCCUCCCUCACCUGACGCUGUCUCCGCCUCCCCUCUCUCGCGUGCGACGCCAAGCCACCCGACCUCUCCUCCUCCCCUAUUCAUCGCCGACCUUUCCUGAGCCCCUCACGACUUCUUCUCUCUCGCGAGGCCGAGCCACCGCCGACCCUCUCCCUUCUCCAUCGCGACUUUGUUUCCUCUCCACCCGAUCCCUCUUCGUCGCCGGCACAACUCCAUCCCGCCCUUCACUGGAGCCACCACCAGUCAGUCACCGUUUUCCCUUUCCAACCCAUGCCAUAGCUUCUUAUCGUAGCCACGACCAUUCACUCUCAUGAGCCUCGAUCGCCCGAUGACUGCCCGACUGCUAACACCACCACUUGAACGCACUGGCGACACUUGAUCCGGCCAUUGACGGUGUAGAGCCACUGUCACCCCCUUCUUCCUCUUGCGAUUUUCGUAGUUGCAUCCUCGUUGUCGAUUAUCCUUUUGGGCCAUGAGCUAGAGGCCGCAAGCUCCACAUUGCCGUCGACCUCUCCUCCGCUACGUCUCAUUGAUGGUGUGGAUCUGUUGCCUCUCUUCUUUGCCUCGGCGCGACACCACAUCAACCACCAUUUGAGUGAGAGUCACCGAUCGCCAUGAGUUGCUGCUGGAGCAAUGAAAAACCACUAGAGAAGAAGAGGAAACAAUGGCACCUACACCUAGCUCCGGUCAUCGUUGUGACACCAUUGUCUUAUCGGAUCUGGGGGGGGGGGGAGUUUUACUCCUAUUGCUGCGGUGAUUGGAUUUCUUUGUCAAGCGGUGAAUCGGAUUUGGGUAGAUGAUUAAGCAAUUGCUUGGAGGUAUCCUGUCUGCCGGUCCCUCGUCACAUCAGAAGACGAUUUUACUUCGCUUUUGAUUUCUUUUAUAUAUAUUCUUUGAUGUUUUAGCAUUGUAUUGGUGUUUAGCCAUGCGGCUAUUUUCCCAUUGAUUUUGGUGUUGUAUUUGUGUUUAAGUCGUGUCGGGACACAUUGAGUUGUUUUGGUUGUAUGAGCUUCUCGUUUAGUUUUCGUUGUAUUUUUAGUACAACCGAGUGGGUUGUUUUAUAUAUAACUGCGUGGUUGUGUUUGUAGUACAAUCAUGUGGGAUGUUUAAUAUAUAUAUAACUGCGUGGUUAUGUAUAUUCCAGCCGUGUGUGUUGAUGUAUUUGUUUGUGAUGUAUUCAUGCUUCAGAUUGUCACCGAUAUAGGGGAGAUGUUGUCAGAUUUUAUUCUGGCAGGGACUCCUUUAGGGUGUGACAGGCUCAACUUGGCUAUAAAAGGAGGUCUCGACUCAACACUUUAGAACAACGAUUUCUAAGCAUCUUCAGCUUCUGCACAUUGCUCUGAAAAGAUCU
This is a long non-coding RNA of Zingiber officinale, 1369 nucleotides long. RefSeq lists it as uncharacterized. The record is from RefSeq and is a predicted model, not a curated record. The transcript is spliced from 3 exons. NCBI's taxonomy places the organism in Eukaryota, Viridiplantae, Streptophyta, Magnoliopsida, Zingiberales, Zingiberaceae.